This 495-nucleotide ribosomal RNA is filed under the name uncultured bacterium. RNAcentral describes it as "partial 16S ribosomal RNA". It matches the Rfam family "Bacterial small subunit ribosomal RNA", at positions 28 to 507 of the family's 1533-position model. The record is from RNAcentral.
GACGAACGCUGGCGGCGUGCCUAAUACAUGCAAGUAGAACGCUGAAGGAGGAGCUUGCUCUUCUGGAUGAGUUGCGAACGGGUGAGUAACGCGUAGGUAACCUGCCUGGUAGCGGGGGAUAACUAUUGGAAACGAUAGCUAAUACCGCAUAACAGUAGAUGUUGCAUGACAUUUGCUUAAAAGGUGCACUUGCAUCACUACCAGAUGGACCUGCGUUGUAUUAGCUAGUUGGUGGGGUAACGGCUCACCAAGGCGACGAUACAUAGCCGACCUGAGAGGGUGAUCGGCCAAACUGGGAAUGAGACAAGGCCCAGACUACUACGGGAGGCAGCAGGAGGGAAUCUUCGGCAAUGGACGGAAGGCUGAACGAGCAACGCCGGGGGAGUGAAGAAGGGUGUCGGAUCGGAAAGCUCUGUUGUAAGAGAAGAAAGAGUGUGAGAGUGGAAAGUUCACACUGUGACGGUAUCUUAACAGAAAGGGACGGCUAACUACGUG